Molecule: ribosomal RNA, 468 nt
Filed under: uncultured bacterium
Lineage: Bacteria
Description: partial 16S ribosomal RNA
Rfam family: Bacterial small subunit ribosomal RNA
Source: RNAcentral
GACGAACGCUGGCGGCGUGCUUAACACAUGCAAGUCGAACGGAAAGGCCCUGCUUUUGUGGGGUGCUCGAGUGGCGAACGGGUGAGUAACACGUGAGUAACCUGCCCUUGACUUUGGGAUAACUUCAGGAAACUGGGGCUAAUACCGGAUAGGAGCUCCUGCUGCAUGGUGGGGGUUGGAAAGUUUCGGCGGUUGGGGAUGGACUCGCGGCUUAUCAGCUUGUUGGUGGGGUAGUGGCUCACCAAGGCUUUGACGGGUAGCCGGCCUGAGAGGGUGACCGGCCACAUUGGGACUGAGAUAUGGCCCAGACUCCUACGGGAGGCAGCAGUGGGGAAUAUUGCACAAUGGGCGGAAGCCUGAUGCAGCAACGCCGCGUGCGGGAUGACGGCCUUCGGGUUGUAAACCGCUUUCGCCUGUGACGAAGCGUGAGUGACGGUAAUGGGUAAAGAAGCACCGGCUAACUACGUG